This 465-nucleotide ribosomal RNA is filed under the name Vreelandella stevensii. Its description in RNAcentral is "partial 16S ribosomal RNA". It matches the Rfam family "Bacterial small subunit ribosomal RNA", at positions 338 to 795 of the family's 1533-position model. Lineage: Bacteria; Pseudomonadati; Pseudomonadota; Gammaproteobacteria; Oceanospirillales; Halomonadaceae. The record is from RNAcentral.
CCUACGGGCGGCAGCAGUGGGGAAUAUUGGACAAUGGGGGGAACCCUGAUCCAGCCAUGCCGCGUGUGUGAAGAAGGCCCUCGGGUUGUAAAGCACUUUCAGUGAGGAAGAACGCCUGGUGGUUAAUACCCAUCAGGAAAGACAUCACUCACAGAAGAAGCACCGGCUAACUCCGUGCCAGCAGCCGCGGUAAUACGGAGGGUGCGAGCGUUAAUCGGAAUUACUGGGCGUAAAGGGCGCGUAGGUGUCUUGAUAAGCCGGUUGUGAAAGCCCCGGGCUCAACCUGGGAACGGCAUCCGGAACUGUCAAGCUAGAGUGCAGGAGAGGAAGGUAGAAUUCCCGGUGUAGCGGUGAAAUGCGUAGAGAUCGGGAGGAAUACCAGUGGCGAAGGCGGCCUUCUGGACUGACACUGACACUGAGGUGCGAAAGCGUGGGUAGCAAACAGGAUUAGAUACCCUGGUAGUC